Molecule: transfer RNA, 74 nt
Organism: Fulvivirga imtechensis AK7
Lineage: Bacteria; Pseudomonadati; Bacteroidota; Cytophagia; Cytophagales; Fulvivirgaceae
Rfam family: tRNA
About the family: Transfer RNA (tRNA) molecules are approximately 80 nucleotides in length. Their secondary structure includes four short double-helical elements and three loops (D, anti-codon, and T loops).
Source: Rfam
GGUUCGCUAGCUCAACUGGAUAGAGCAACUGCCUUCUAAGCAGUAGGUUCCAGGUUCGAGUCCUGGGCGAAUCA